ACUUGGGGACAGGAUAGGGUAGCAUCUUUACAUCUUUACAUGUCAUUGGCCUGGAAUAGGGGGUCCUGAAGGGUUUGUCGUAAGAAAGAGAAAGUGCUCAUUGCUGCAAGGGGAGCACAGCCGGGUUCUGAGAGGCAAAACACUUCCCUCACUUCCCACCCAAGAGUUUCGCCUGUUCUCUCGACCCUCUGAGGUGUGCAUUGGUGUCACUCACUGGCCACCAUUCCAGCUCUUAAUUCCUCUGCCUUUUGUGCUGGCCUUUGGGGCUCCCCUGAGGAUGACUGGUUCUCAGGUUGCCCCUGGAGGAAUGGGUGGAGUUGUAAGAUCAGGAAUAAAGCUAGAGAGGGAGGACCAAGGGGAAGUCACUGAUGCAGCCGCCGUCUAGCCCAUCCCACCCCGAUUGAGAGGUCGCUUUUUCCUGUUGAACAUGUUGGAUAGUGGAAUGUGUUAUAAGAAGUGAUAUGUGUGGCUUCUUGUCAUUGCAGGAUUGUCAGCUGACCUCUGUCCUGUGUGCCCAGUGGCCCCAGGUGACGUGUCUUCAAGAAGAGGCUGAGCUGCGGUGCUUGUAAGAGUCAUGUGCUGUUCCUGGGGCUUGGAUGAUGUAGGGGAAGCAAGGUGAAAGUGGUAUCCCGUGGUUCCACGUUCUGUCCUGCUGUGGGGCUGUCCCUCACAUGCUUUCAGUGGCUGUUGCAGAGGAAGAGCCUCCGGAAAUCUGCGUGGGUAAAGUGAGCUCCCCGGGGGAACCGUCCUCCUCCCUUGAGCGCUGGUGUGUCCAUAGUGUGCUGUGAUCUGGAUUAGCAGUGAGUUUUUCUUUCAGGGUGUGUGUGUAUGAUGUUAGGACCAUAUGCUCCUGACCUUUUCCAACCCAAAAGCGUUUCCAUUUUUUUAAUGCUGGAAGUGUCUUAACUCCUUUUGGGGUCUUAGAAGGACACACGGUGGCCGUGGCUGGGCCUCUGCUCAGCUGGGCUGCUCUCCCUGCCUCAGGCCCUUGACACCAGCCUCCCUCCCUUGCUGGCUCUCUUUCUGUCCUUCCCUGCUCUUGUAUCCAAAAGUGAUCAUGGGUUGCCUGUGUCCCGAUCAUUAACAGUGCAGGGGUAGGAGUGCUGAAAGACAUCUUCCCUGCGUUGGUCCAGCCUUCCCUUUCAAACCCUGGAGCUUUCCCACGCUGCAGCCUUUUUCCAACUAGGCUUUCAGAGCUUGGGCCUUUGUGGGCCCAUGUGAUGUGGUGACUAGACCCACCCCCUGACUUCUGAGGGUUCAUUUUGUCUUUUCAUGUUAGGGAUCCUCCUGCCAGAAACCAGUCUGCAUUUCUCUCUGGGCCCCACGCUGGAAUGAAUUCAGAUAGCAGUGAAGGGCACACGUGAGAACUGCGAAUCACGGGCUUUGCUUCAUGAAAUGUGAAAUCCACAUUGUUUCCACAGGCACCAUCAGUAAUGUCGAACAAAUGGAGAAAGUUGCAGGUGGGGCUAGGAAAGCUGUAUUCCUGUGGAUUACUCUAGCUGGUCAUUUGCCCCGAUUGUGAACUGCUUGAAAGAAAAACGAAACUUCUAAGAUGUUUGUCCUUUCAUGUCCUUUCUGUUGGGAUUUUUUAUUUGGUGUGCGUGAAUGAGGAGCUUCGCCCUGCUUGAAUGGGACCCCUCUCAGUGGUGUCAGCUUGGGGAGGAGGAGAUGGCCCUGGAGACUAAAUACUUGUAUGCUUUCUUACCCUCUUAGGUCUCAGCCUUAGAUCCAAGGACAGUCCAAGGAAGUCCUAAGACCAUGGAGUUGGUGAUCUGGGAUCUGGGUUUGCUGAUAUUUCUCACCGUGAAUCUCUUGGUGGUGUUUGUGGGCACGAGAGGGGCAGAGAAUGGAGAGUGAGGCUACCACAUGAAGCGUCACCAGAGCUGCUCCCUGCUGCCUGCUCAGAGCACCCCGGAUCCACUGUUCAAUCUGCACAAGAUUCGGGGUCCAGACAUGGGAGACUUCAGCUGCCUCAGAGGACCGUGGACAGGGAAGGCCAGCCUCGCAUCCCUCUGUCCAUGCCUGGAAUGACUUUAAUAACCAAGAGUUUUAUUUUUGAAUUUGUAGCUGUCGUUCACUUUUUACCCACCCAUUCAAUAAACCUUACAGAAUUGCUCCA
RNAcentral lists this long non-coding RNA (2119 nucleotides) under Homo sapiens (human). RNAcentral describes it as "small nucleolar RNA host gene 17". The stretch from base 1038 to 1165 matches the Rfam family "Small nucleolar RNA SNORA71". Lineage: Eukaryota; Metazoa; Chordata; Mammalia; Primates; Hominidae. The record is from RNAcentral.